AUUCUGGCUCAGAUUGAACGCUGGCGGCGUGCUUAACACAUGCAAGUCGCGCGUGAAAGGACUUCGGUCCGAGUAAAGCGGCGCACGGGUGAGUAACGCGUGGAUGAUCUACCCAUGAGUUAGGAAUAACGGCUGGAAACGGUCGCUAAUACCAAAUACGCUCCGAUUUCAACUUCGGGGGAAAGGUGGCCUCUGCUUGCAAGCUACUGCUCAUGGAUGAGUCCGCGUCCCAUUAGCUAGUUGGUGGGUAACGGCCCACCAAGGCGACGAUGGGUAGCCGGUCUGAGAGGAUGACCGGCCACACUGGGACUGGAACACGGCCCAGACUCCUACGGGAGGCAGCAGUGGGGAAUAUUGCGCAAUGGGCGAAAGCCUGACGCAGCGACGCCGCGUGAGGGAUGAAAGGUCCUCGGAUCGUAAACCUCUGUCAGGAGGGAAGAACCGCCACGGUGCUAAUCAGCCGUGGUCUGACGGUACCUCCAAAGGAAGCACCGGCUAACUCCGUGCCAGCAGCAGC
This 517-nucleotide ribosomal RNA is filed under the name uncultured bacterium. Its description in RNAcentral is "bacterial SSU rRNA". It matches the Rfam family "Bacterial small subunit ribosomal RNA", at positions 16 to 518 of the family's 1533-position model. The record is from RNAcentral.